GAGCCAGUCCUGGGAUAGCUGGAGCUGCACAGAGAAACUCUAUCUCUAGAAACAAAAACAAACCUAAUAAAAACGAGGAAAGGCUUUUUAUACUGACGAUACCAGAUCUUCAAAAUAAGUACAACUGGGUGGGGUGCAUAAGAGGAAUAGGUGCUGUGAAACAGGAGGAAUGCAAGCGUCUGCUGUGCUGCUGCCCAUGUGUAUUGCAGUGUAGACUGACAAGCACGGACGCAGGACUGACACCACCCUUGUAUCAUGAAUGUUUUAUUCCUUAGUGAGUGAAUUUUUUUACCUUUUUCUUUCUUUCUUUCCUUUUUUUUUUUUUUUUUUUUUUUGGAGACAGUCUUGUUUGUAGCUCUGUGAAUGCAUGUGUAGACCAGGCUGGUCUCAGAUUUGCAGUGUGAUUCUCUUGCUUCAUCUUCCUACGUAUUGGGAUUACAAGCAUGAGCCGUCAUGCCUGGGUCAAAACUGUUUUAAAACUGAGACUGAAUAUUGUAGUGCAUACCUGCAGCCCUGGCUCUGGCCCUGGCUCUGGGGAAGCUGAAGCAAGUCGGAAGAUUGCAGUGAGCCUGAAGGCAGCCUGGGUUACCUAGUGAGAACCUGUCUGAAAAACCAAAGAUUUGCUUAAACCUGUCUUCUUUGUCCUGGAGGAAUGUCCCUGUGGUGCAUGGCAGCCACAGUCGCUCUCCUGUGGGUCCCACGUGGGUUAUCUUUAGGGCAGAAAAGCAGAACUUUAUUAUAAAGCUUGUUGCAGUUAUACAGGUUUUUUGGUUUUUUGUUUUUGUUUAUUUUGACAACUCAUUUUAUAGACCAGACUGUCCUCAUUAAACUCAGAGAUCAGUCUGCCUCCCAAGUGCUGGGAUUAAAGGCCUGCUCCACACCUGUGAGGAGACAGCUGAACCUAGAGGAAACCCUGUAACCUCUACCCACCAUGGUCUGCUCCUCUGGGAGCAGGAAGGAGGAAGCAAAGAUGUGGGCAUUAGCUAACUCCCUUUAGGCCUGGUAGCCAUCCUGUGCUGUGGUUGGUGUUUGAGUUCCUCCUCUUGGGAAGGACUGUGCUGUGUGCUGCAGCUGGCAAGGGACUGUGGAUACUGUAGCACUUGGUUGCUUUUUGCGGGUGACAAGCACAGUGGCGGUAACUGGAGGUGCCCUCCUGUGCUAAAGUAUGGAGACUGUGGCCUUCACAGGGUCUAGAAAAGCCUCAUCAUUUCCUGUUGUUUCCUCAGGGCUGGAGCAGUUUUACCACUGGGGCGAGCAAGUUUGCGUCUGCAGCAAAGGAGGGUGCUACAAAAUUUGGAUCUCAAGCAAGUCAAAAGGUAAAGAGGAGAAGCUUUUACUCUCUUAGUCUUGCCAGGUGGUGGUGGUGUACACUUUUGAUCCCAGCACCCGGGAGGCAGAAGCAGGCAGAUCUCUGAGUUCAAGGCUAGAUUUGUCU
Molecule: long non-coding RNA, 1435 nt
Filed under: Rattus norvegicus (Norway rat)
Lineage: Eukaryota; Metazoa; Chordata; Mammalia; Rodentia; Muridae
Description: long non-coding RNA NONRATT018968
Source: RNAcentral